ACUCCUACGGGAGGCAGCAGUAGGGAAUCUUCCACAAUGGACGAAAGUCUGAUGGAGCAACGCCGCGUGAGUGAAGAAGGUUUUCGGAUCGUAAAACUCUGUUGUCAGAGAAGAACGUGUGUGAGAGUAACUGUUCAUGCAGUGACGGUAUCUGACCAGAAAGUCACGGCUAACUACGUGCCAGCAGCCGCGGUAAU
Molecule: ribosomal RNA, 197 nt
Filed under: uncultured bacterium
Lineage: Bacteria
Description: partial 16S ribosomal RNA
Rfam family: Bacterial small subunit ribosomal RNA
Source: RNAcentral